GAAAAAAAUGUAAAAAAUUGGGGGAAAAAAUGCAAAAAAUUGGGGGGAAAAAUGACAAAAAUUCAGUGUAAAAAUCCCCAAAAUUUGGAGUAAAAAUGCCCAAAAUUUGGUGUAAAAAUACCCAAAAAUUCCGAGUAAAAAUCCCCAAAAAUUUGGUGUAAAAAUACCCAAAAAUUCAGAGUAGAAAUCCCAAAAAUUUGGUGUAAAAAUCCCCCAAAUUUGGUGUAAAAAUCCCCAAAAUUUGGUGUAAAAAUCCCCAAAAAUUCCGAGUAAAAAUCCCCAAAAUUCGGAGUAAAAAUCCCAAAUUUGGGGGCUGCCCCCAUGGAUGGCUUCGACGCCCCCCGGGGACCCCCCCUGCCCGUCCCCCUGGCCGACUGAGGGACCCCCAAAAUCGGGGAAAACAUUCCCAAAAAACCUGGGAAAAUAGCCUGGAAGUUUGGGAAAAAAUCCUGAAAGUUUGGGAAAAAAAUGUAAAAAAUUGGGGGAAAAAAUGCAAAAAAUUGGGGGGAAAAAUGACAAAAAUUCAGUGUAAAAAUCCCCAAAAUUUGGAGUAAAAAUGCCCAAAAUUUGGUGUAAAAAUACCCAAAAAUUCCGAGUAAAAAUCCCCAAAAAUUUGGUGUAAAAAUACCCAAAAAUUCAGAGUAGAAAUCCCAAAAAUUUGGUGUAAAAAUCCCCCAAAUUUGGUGUAAAAAUCCCCAAAAUUUGGUGUAAAAAUCCCCAAAAAUUCCGAGUAAAAAUCCCCAAAAUUCGGAGUAAAAAUCCCAAAUUUGGGGGCUGCCCCCAUGGAUGGCUUCGACGCCCCCCGGGGACCCCCCCUGCCCGUCCCCCUGGCCGACUGAGGGACCCCCAAAAUCGGGGAAAACAUUCCCAAAAAACCUGGGAAAAUAGCCUGGAAGUUUGGGGAAAAAAUCCUGAAAGUUUGGGAAAAAAAUCCUGAAAGUUUGGGAAAAAAAUGUAAAAAAUUGGGGGAAAAAAUGCGAAAAUUUGGGGGAAAAAUGCAAAAAAAUUGUGGGAAAAAAUGACAAAAAUUCAGUGUAAAAAUCCCCAAAAUUUGGAGUAGGAAGCCCCAAAAUUAAGAGUAAAAAUCCCCAAAAAUUCGGAGUAAAAAUCCCCAAAAAUUCAGAGUAAAAAUCCCCAAAUUUGGGGGCUGCCCCCAUGGAUGGCUUCGACGCCCCCCGGGGACCCCCCCUGCCCGUCCCCCUGGCCGACUGAGGGACCCCCAAAAUCGGGGAAAACAUCCCCAAAAAAAUGGGGAAAAUAGCCUGGAAGUUUGGGGAAAAAAUCC
Molecule: long non-coding RNA, 1285 nt
Filed under: Chloebia gouldiae (Gouldian finch)
Lineage: Eukaryota; Metazoa; Chordata; Aves; Passeriformes; Passeridae
Description: Erythrura gouldiae (Gouldian finch) lncRNA (ENSEGOG00005017874.1)
Source: RNAcentral